This is a long non-coding RNA of Artibeus jamaicensis (Jamaican fruit-eating bat), 1985 nucleotides long. RefSeq lists it as uncharacterized. The record is from RefSeq and is a predicted model, not a curated record. NCBI's taxonomy places the organism in Eukaryota, Metazoa, Chordata, Mammalia, Chiroptera, Phyllostomidae. The transcript is spliced from 4 exons.
UGAAAAGUUUGUCUUUUCUAUCGACUAGAUUCUUAUUUCCCUCUGUCCCAUAGAUUUGUCUUGGCCUCCCUCCUAAAUCCCACAGAAGCUGCUUCCUCUUCCCUGGGAGAGGGUGUGAAGAUAGAAGCUUCCUCCAGUGAAGCAUCCACCCCAGCCCUGGACUUGAGACGGGAGAUGGAAACGAGGGGACCCUCCAGAGGCGGAGCAGCGUGCAGAGAGCGUGGGGCAAAGUCUGGAAGCAACAGUUCGAAACUCACAGAUGUUGCUGUUCUGACAGCCAAACGUCAAAGCAGUAUUGUUGCCCCAAUUUACAGGUGGGGAAACUGAGGCUUGUGGAGGAGAAGCAGCUUUGUGCUGGGUAACCGUCCACUGGUGGAGACAGGUCUGUGUGGCUCAGAAGCUGGGACAUACCUGGGAUGGUGCCUUUCCCCAGGGGGUCCUCUGAGGCCCCCACCUCGACACACACACGAGAGAUGGGCUGAGUUUCGGGGACCGUGAACAUCAAGGUAGUUCCACAGUGACAAGGUGCCCAGCUUGCAAGAUUAGUCAUACACCUUUCUGAUAAGAAAAGCGAAAAGGCGAAGUUGAGAACUGAAGACUUCCUGAAUCCAGCGCUCCACGUCCUGCGCUAAGGAACAGGCGACUCCCAAAAAGGAAUCGUUAGUGGAAGUCCCACGUUUCGCUGGCGAUGGAAGGGGAACUGGUGGGGGAGGCUGGUUUCAGGAUCUCACCUCACUGCCGGUGGCGGGGAGGGGGACCCCCACCUUCCCGCCGUGGGACGUCUUGCCACCCUGGGCUCCAAGGCCGGAGUCCGCACUGCGCUCUGCUGGGCUGGCCUGGCCCUGCCCUGGCACCUGUGUCGGGCAGCCAGCGCCUGCGUCUUCCUGAGCAGCUGCCAGCGCUGCCGCGUGGCAGGGCCACACUCUUGCAACACGGGCUGCUGAGGUUUCUGCGGCCCCUCCAGUCAGGAGGCAGCCCAGGUGCUGUGGGCAAGACAUGUGUGAGAGACUGAAUUAGACCCCCUUAAAAAAACACCAGGGCUGGUCUCGGGACCCACACCCCAUAACCGACAUCUAUGCCUGAAGCUGGUGCUUGGGUCUGGCCAGCGCAGUAGCAAAGAGCCUGGACCCUUCGGCCAGCUGUCCCGGAUGCAGCCUGCCUCCUCUCCUUACCUGCUGGUUAGCUCGGCAAGCCGCUCCCCUCAGUGGGCCUCAGCUUUCUCAUUUUUGCAAUGAAUGAAUUAAGUGGACCUCCAUCACAGGCAGCCUGCUAGGGCUGAGCGAAUUAAGGCUUGUAAAGCGCUGUCGUAGUGACAAGCGUGGCUCAGAAUGAAUGAGGGAGGGAAAGAGGGACUCCCCAAGUCCUGUGUACUGGAGACAGAGGGAGCUGAUGCACCCACUUAAAACACUGACUAGGAAGUAGUUUAAAGCAUACAGAAAAUUUAUCACAGUGCAAAGAGCAGACUCAUCUAUUUCUUUGUAAUGGCUGUACUAAGACAUAAUUCACAUGGCAUACAAGUCACUUACUGAACGUGUACAAUUCACAGACUUGUGAAACCAUCAUCACAGUGAAUUUUAGGACAUUUUCAUUACUCCCUUCCCCCAAAGCCCCGUACCCCUUGGCUACUGCCCCCCUCACCAAUUGUUACUACCCCCCUUUUUUCUAUUGAUACUUUUAUGCAUUUUUUAAACCUGUGAUUUCCAAUGUUCUUGAAUCUUGGGACCCUUUUAAGUGUUAAAAUAUGCUGCAGAGGCCUGACAGGCACUUUAUUCACUGAGCACGUGUUUACUGAGCAUCUGCUGUGUGCCAAGCAGGGUGCUCGGAGCUGUGGAUGCAACAGAGCGUGAACAGGUGUGGCCCUCUUUCUAUGGGGAAAGAGACCUAUUCAGAUGCUGGGAGGAGUCCAGUGUGGAAGGCGCUAGAAAAGAAACUACGUAAGGCCUCUAGAGAAGGCAGCAGGGGACUGCCCCAUGCCCAGGAGUGAG